UGGGGAAUAUUGGGCAAUGGGGGAAACCCUGACCCAGCCAUGCCGCGUGAGUGAUGAAGGCCUUCGGGUCGUAAAGCUCUGUGGGGAGGGAAAAAGCGAUGUCCCGUGAACAAUGGGGUGUUGUGAUGGUACCUCCUUAGCAAGCACCGGCUAACUCUGUGCCAGCAGCCGCGGUAAUACAGAGGGUGCAAACGUUGCUCGGAAUUAUUGGGCGUAAAGCGCACGUAGGCGGUAUCGUAAGUCCGAUGUGAAAGCCCCAGGCUCAACCUGGGAAGUGCAUUGGAUACUGCGGAACUUGAAUCUGGAAGAGGGUCGCGGAAUUCCCGGUGUAGAGGUGAAAUUCGUAGAUAUCGGGAGGAACACCAGUGGCGAAGGCGGCGACCUGGGCCAAGAUUGACGCUGAGGUGCGAAAGCGUGGGGAGCAAACA
This 428-nucleotide ribosomal RNA is filed under the name uncultured bacterium. RNAcentral's name for it is "bacterial SSU rRNA". It matches the Rfam family "Bacterial small subunit ribosomal RNA", at positions 355 to 774 of the family's 1533-position model. The record is from RNAcentral.